GAUGGCAGAGCCCUCAGACUGAGGCCGAGCUCUGUGUGCCCUGACUGAGCUCUGCUUUCUC
MicroRNA precursor from Gallus gallus (chicken), 61 nucleotides. NCBI's taxonomy places the organism in Eukaryota, Metazoa, Chordata, Aves, Galliformes, Phasianidae. The record is from Ensembl.